AGUCCCCCCUCCGUUAGGGCGCUACAAAAAAUGUCCAUCUAGAUAAAUCCCCCGCUCUGCUGUUGGAUCGCAAAAUUGUUAUAUUUUCUAUCCCUUUAUCGGGGAAAUAACUCGCUCAUCUUGCAGUAUUCUGCCUGUUUUCCACUCUCGCUACAAAGCGGUUAAAAUAAUGUUGCCAGGGAAAUGUCUCAAAUCAGAGACAUUACCGUAGAAAUUGGCAAGAGUCGGAAAUUCACAACGGCGGAUCGAACAGCAGUCGAAGAUGCAAGAUCCAACCCGCCGACCCGGUCCGUCUGUGUACACAGCCAGGAUUUUCCGGCGCCGGUGCUGAACCGGCUGCCCGUCUGAGGGGUGGAUAUUUUUUACAGUGUAGGUUUCUACGACUGGAGGGGGCUUGGGAGGAGAGUGGGAGGGGGGCUCUGACAGGCACAAUUUACAUUGAGCUCGCCCCGCGCUGCUAUUUACUUUGAAACCUGAUUAGUAUGGGCCGUCUAUUGUCACCAAAAAGAGGAAGAAACCCUGGAUAGAAUAGCGAAAAAAGCGGGUUAAAGGCGAGAGAGAGAGAAACAGAGAGAGAGAGAGCGAGAGAGAGACAGAAAGAGAGAGAGGAGGUGGGGGACAAAGCUUUUAAGCACGACAAAUAAAACCAAAAGCUGUGCGCUGCGACCAAAAGGGGGGAUUCUGACUCAGAUUUUUCCCCCCUUAAAGUUUCAGAAUGCCUUGUCUCGGACUGUUAUCUUUAUUAUUAAACUAACGGGGGUCUCUGCUGUUGGGAGCGGAUUAAUAUUUUCACACGCUGUUUUUUGUCCUUGGCAUGCGCAUUGCGGUACAGCAUCGUCUGUAAUCGGCACCAGUUUCGCUCAUUAAAACUUAAAAUUUAGUUUAAGAGCAGUUUAGGGAAAAAAAAACAUCACUGUGCAAAAUGAUGCGCAAACGCCGCCGUUGUGCUUGAAGCCUUUUCAGAUGCGGGGAAUCUCUUGAAAUUCGGAGCGACGUUUAACAAUUGCCAACAUCUCACAGUCGCACAACCACUUCAAUAGGAGUAGUUUUUUUUAUGUGUGUGUUAAUAAUGACAUUAAUUCAAAAUCGAGCGAAGUUACGGGGAAUUUGCACGGAGAUUCCAGCUUUUAUGCAUCAGUGUUUCUGCAGGCGUCUCAGACUCAAAAAUGUCUGGAUCGCGCUGCCAUCUAGCGUACGUUGUGCAAUUACAUCCACAUAACACCCCAACGUGCAAGCCAUCAAACUUGCAUUUUUAAGCGCUUAAAUAGAUCUUAGAUAAUAAUUAAAAAGCUCGAACGUGCGUAGAAUUGUCUUGUGUACUUUUAUAGUUCAUAAAAAGUGAAUUUCACAGGUUAAAGAUAUCGGAAGACAUUAAUAAAUUAUUAAGAAAACAUGAACAUGCAUUGAUUAGAGUAUCAUAAUUCAUAAUUAAUGUUUAAACAGUGCUUCCUAAUUAAAACGACGCUCUGUUUAUAUAAAACCAAGACGCAAAAAAUGCCAGUUGUAUCCAUAAGCUUAGGAAAUAAUAACGCAACACUCAAAUACAUAAAAGUACUUUAACACAACAAAGCACGCAUAAGCACGUCUAGACUCAAACAGGGAUAUAAGGAGAUAUAACAUAGCGUUAAUAUAUGGAAGUGCCUCUGUUUGAAUGUGCAUUCAGGAGGGAUGGCUUGUUUUUUAAGUAUUCAAUAAGAGCGCUCUCUCUCCCCGUCCCUGUCUCGGACACACACCGUGGAAACUCUCCGGCCAUGUCUCCAGCAUUCUGAAAAGGUGAAACCAAUAAGAUUAAAUCGGACAAUGCAUUUUUUUUGCCCCCUUUCUUCCCCCUUUGGUGUAUCAUUAAGAUUUAACUCCGCACAUUUUGGUAAAAGAAUGGGGGUCCGCAUGAGGGAAGAAGAGGAGAGAGAAGAGAGGACAAGAGUGAGAGGGGGAAGCGAAUAGGAAGCGGGGUAGAUAUAUUAGAGAGGCUCUGAUAGAAACCUGCAUGUGGAGAAAGUGGACGGGUGGGAUGUUGGAAGAAGGAGAAGAAGCACCGGUGCAGGAGCGGCUGCUGUGCAGUCACAGAGAAGGCUCACAGCGCUGUAGCUGCAGGAGGCGUCCGAACAAACGCUGAAGGAGGACUGAGAUGCUGGGAUGGGGUUUUCCUUAAUGCUGUUUGAUUUUAGGAAGAGGUUGUCCCUAUUUAGUAGGACAGGGGUUUAUGUGCUGGAUAAAUUGAGGAUUAAAAUUUGAUUCAUCCUUAUUGCCCUUUAGAAAUCCCAUUUCCAAUUUUAUAUUGGCUUCUUUGAAAUUAAGAUGUGGAAAAGAGUGUAGUUUGAUUUUCUGGGAAUCUAACAUCAGCAACUUUCACGGCAGGAAUCCAAAAUGAAAUUAUUUUGAAGUGAUAGUGAUAUAAAUGUAAAAACCUAUCAUGGACUCUGCUGGAUUUAACUGUGACAAGAUUAAAAGAAUCAGUGACAAAAUAAUAGCUUUACAAAGUUUGUUUAUACCUUUUACUUGUUGUAAGCACAUAAGUGACAUGAUAUGAAAACAACACAAAUUUCCGUAAUCUCUUCUAGAAAUGCACCAAUCAGGAUUUUCUGACAAUACUGAAUUUCAAUUUUGGUCAAUUGUUCUGAUCUGCCGCUAUUUUUUAUUUUUUUUUUUUCGUAUUCCAAUUUUUUCUGGUCAGUUCUAUGACAGAUCAUAGAGGAAUAGUAUCGUUUGAUGGAGAUAGUAAUUUUGAAUUCAAUAGAAAGCAAAGAAUUAAAAAAAUAAUCAAACAUUUCCCCCUUUUUUGUUCCUAUCAAACCCCAAAAAGUUCCUCUUUAUGGACGGUUUAAGUUGAUGUCUUUACAGAGUGAAAAUGGUGUGAGUUUAUACCUGUGAUAGUUGGGUAUAAACUCACACAGGGGAAAAGUUAUUAAGUCAGAUUUCCCCUGAAUCUGACUUUUUUCUGCUAUUGAACGUUAAUAGUAGAAUACUGUGAUUAUAUAUUGCGCAACGCAAGAGCUAACAUCAUUCUCACUUGAUUUCAAGAUUUUCACUCUGAAUCCCAUUCACAAUUUUACAUUCCUUUUUUUUCAUCAUGUAAAUUAUUGGACUUAUUUCACGCUUUAUGGCUGGAAAUGACUCAAGGUGUUCCACAGCACAAAGUAAGAGACUACAGUUUGCUUUAGCCCCAUCGCAACAGAUCAGGAAAAACAAGCAGAGAAUGACCAUUAUUGAUGAUUUGUGCAGACGGACCUCAGACGAUCUUGAAUUAUGUGUGAGAGCAAAAGAUAGACACUUGCACAUUGCUGUGUUUACUUCGGUCUUGUGUAUGUGUGUGUGUGUCAGUUUUCCCUCAGAUGUUCCUUGUGACCUUUGACUCUGGAGCCGGGGUCAAACCCUGACAAAUGAGACGGUUGAGCUCUGAACAGAGCAGCAAACAUUCCACAACCAUCUUCUGUCCUCCUUCUCCUACUCCUUACAUCACUCACUCUUCUCUCUCCAUCUCCUCUUUGAGCACGACAGGAGCAAAUUAUGUUUAAAACUAACAAUGAUGAUAUUGGAUAAGUUUUACAACUGCCUUUUUAUAUUAAAUCAGAGAAAUCAUGUGAUCUGAGAGAAGUAAAUGCUGCUAAAGAGUUGAAAUUUUACAACUAUGCACUUUAACAACACACUCCCUGUUGUGUCUAUGAGUGUAUGUGCGUGUGCAUACACGCUGCGCGCGUGCGUGUGUGUGGAAAGACUGUCAGUGAUGUCAAGGAUGAGAAAUGUUGCUGUGAGGUUUUUUACACACGCUGCUGGCUCCAGCAUUUCCGGCAACAUUUCUCACUCUGCCUCCCUCACACCAUCCGCUCUCCUGCAAUAUCCCGACAUUUUUCCGUCCUUUCCGUUCUCUUCCCUGCACCCUCCCCUCCUCACUUUCAAUCCCCACUUCAAACUUCCUCUUCUUGUGCCAUCCUACUCAUCCUAAUCUCAGCCCUUUUCCUUUCUCUCUCUCUUUCUCUCUCCCUCUCUCGCUCGCUCUCACACGCACACUCUCUCCACCCACUAUACUCUCUGAUUUUCUUGACACAGAAUGCAACCACCUGUGUCUUUAGGAUGAAUGUGAGGAGUUAUCCACCUUACUCCAGUGAGAGCUGGUUAAGGUAAGUGGGUUGUUGUUUAUUCUACAUUUUUUGAAUGAAAUUGCUGCAACAAGCCUAACUACCCUUUACAAAUGCUCCAGUUACUACUGUGAUAAGUGAUAACUGUGAUAACAGUUGUCUAAUUAUGAACGUCAGCAGAGCAGCCAGUGUCGGAAAGGACAUGCAAAGCAGUAAGACAGUGUGACACUAUUGAACUUGUACAAUGAUGUAAUGUAACAGUUACUGGAAUGCAGUUCCACACAGCACAUAAUCCUAAUAAAAACAAAACACCAAUAUAUGUACGUGUUUGUGUUUUUUUCCCCCCCUUCCCUGUUUCAACUCCCACUUGAAUUGCGAUUGCAUUUGAUGUAGACUGCUCUGUGAUUCAUUGGAGGGUACAGCUGCUUCACAUGCCUUUUGGACUGGACAAGACUGUUUCCUCACAGGAAAGCUUGAUCACAUGUCUCAAUCACACAGCAAGAUCUGAGCUCUAAUUGGCUGCGCACUGGGGCAUCACCAUGCCGAAUCUGAGUAGCAUGCAUGCAGCUUUUUGAUUCGGAUAGUAAGAUGGUGGUGGCGUAUGGGGUUGUUGGGAGUCUGAUGAGGGGUGAGGGGAUCCUUUUGGGUAGAAAGGCAGUGAGUUUCUGGCAAAUCUGUGAGCAGGACCACAUGGAACCCAGUUUGCCAUUGUCAUUUAUCUCAGUGCACAGUAUAAAACAUAAACAGUGAGAAUUGUUCAUCUAUACAUGCGAUAGCAAAACAUACAAGAGGAAAUAUUGGAAUGUCCUAAGAGCUGCCUGAUAUACCAGAAUGAAUAAAUUAUAAAGCUCUCACCAUCAACAAACAGCUUGCUAUGAUUAAAAUAGCCAGCAGGGGACAGAAAACAAGUGAAGAACAUGUAGAGGCAUUUCUAUGUAAUCACAGUCGUGUCUAUGUCCGUAGUUUGGUCCAGCUGAUUGUUUUUACACUACCUUUUCUUCCUCUUGCUGCUCAGUAUGUACACAGGCAGCUCAAGAGUGCCAAAAAAAGGGCUCCGAAGCAUUCAAUUCGCCGCCACCACCCACUGUUGUCCUACUGUUACCGAGUCAUGGAUGUCUUCCCCUAUCCCCAAGGGAUUGUGCCCCGUUUGCUCCCCAACCCUCCCACCUCUUCCUCAGCUAGCGUGCACCCAGCCACCCAUCCGCCAAUCUCCUCUCCUCCUCCCUGCCUUUGCUCCCUUAUUCAGCGUGUAAAAGCGCCCCCUGAAUGAUGGAUUACAGUGUCACUGCAGUCUGCGAAGGAUUAAUUUGUUUCAUUGAUUUCUCUUUAGGCAGAAUGCCAGCGUCUGCCGCUUCCCACCUUUUUCCCCGAGACUCGCUGCUGUAAUAGACGGUAAUGGCCUAAGACAAAUCAACCCCUUUUCUUGUAAAAAUAGCACCAAAUAACCCAACCCACCUUAACAGCUUGCACUCUACUUGGAAGCACAUCAGGUGGUGGUGCAGUGGCAGUGGUGGGUACCGGGAGAGGCCAGUGUAUGUGUGCGGGGGGUCUGUUCAAUUUAUCCUCAUAUUCAGUUUCUAUCACUCUAUCUGGCUACAUUUCGGUACCACCCUCCCUCUUCAUUCAGAGCCGAGGCCAGAGGAGACCAUCCUGUCGCUUUAACAAAGCCAUAAGUCUGCCAUACUUACUGCUCCCUCUCAGGCUUCACAAUGGAUGGGUAAUGGCAGCGCUGUCUGGAGGGGGCUGCGGGAGUUGGGCCAUUCUCUCCAGUAAUGGAAGCUGUUACUGCCAUUCCUUACACACCUGCAAGAACAGCUAACUGCUAACCACUGUGAUCUAUUGCAGAGGCCUCAUUGCACCGGGCUAAGGUUGAAGGGUUGUACUGACACCAGUGAAUUAGGGCACAUCCUUCCCCCCGGCCCCUGCCUGUCUUCCCUUUCUAUUUCACACCAAAACCUAUGGAGGAGCAAUGGAGAUAUUUCCAAGCAAAUCUAUAGCCCCAGAGUCCACAUUGGUGCAGCUUUCAGCCUCACAGACUGGCGAUCUAGCAUUCCUGACAUCCGCUGAUUUAACACAGACAUAAGAUGCUGUCACAUCUUUACUACUCUGUCACUGCCUUGAACGAUGGGAAAUCCAAACUGCCUGUAACAUUAAGAACACCACUACAGGCUGACUGUCCUUGAAUGCUUUCCAGUCCCGCAGAGAUUUAUGAGCUGAACCGCAUCCAUUAAUCCACUGUUGAUUUGCUGUGGCUACCCUGCGGGGUUUUUGGGGAUCAGAUAUCAUACAGUGCUGAAACUCACCCUGUUGUGCAAGACGGUGGAAAGCAGCUCUUUUACAAGAGCUGAAAAAAAAAAAAAAGAAUGGAUAAAUUUAAAAUUCAUUGCAUAUUUCACGUCUCUGCAUGUUCAACCUGAUAGAUACGGGCUUAUGACAGAAAAACACUGUCACUUAGAUUAUAAAUGAGAAUGUAAAACAGAGUGAUGAGCCAUACAAACCUCAGUAUGGGUGAGUGAAAGCUGAUGCACGAUGCAAUAAUGACCCAGGCUUAGAGGAAAUCUCAUUGGCUCCCUGCAAUCAAUUUAACCAUGUUUACAAACCCACAAUCUAAGGUUUGUGGUUGAAAGAGAGAGAGGGAGACAGAAAGAGAGAGAACACUGGUCACCUGGUGCUCUUCUGGUUAAGCUGGCCUCUCUUGGGUAAACCCUCCAUAAAGCCCCCUCUUGUCUGACACCACCAGGCCCUUCAAACACUCCUCUCAGACAGGGGGGAUUAGGUAAUCUCGACAUGAUACUGUCUUUUUUCUCCAUUUCUAUCAUUUUCUCUCCCUCUCUUUGACACUGGCUCGCCUUCCCCUUCAUUCUCAUACAUUACAUCCUAACUCCCUCUCUCAAGGCUGUUGAAGAGCUUGUUCUGCUCUGGACACAUCUAUCCUCGGGGGCCCUUACGAUCUUAAGUGCCUCCGGAAAAGAGUGGAACUUAAAGGGCUACAGAAGAUCGUUGCAGGACUGGAUAACGAGAGACGGACUCCAGAUAGUCACUCUGAGCGCCCACAUCGCCCAGAGUACCUCUGGCAACGUGGGAACUGAGGGCCAGUAGAUGUGGAGCACGUGGAAACCACACAACUGCAUCAUUCCUGAACUGCUGUUUCUUCGGAUCGCUUUGAGGUUCUUCUGGACACAGGACGAAGUAUUGCCCGGAUUCAUCUGUGGAAAAUCACGAUUACACAAGGUACUGAGUUGUACUUUAGUAUUUUUGCUCGUUAAGGGAAGAGGCUCUGGACCGUGGAGUCGGUGGGACUCCUACAUUCAUGAGGAUCUGAACAGGCCUGCAACGUAGGAUAUAUUUUCUGCCGGCAUUAGGUUUAGUUUUACAGUAGUGGGUUAUAUAACUGGUGUUUUACACUGUAUAGGCAGAUUCAUUGUACGGUUGGAACAAUGCUCUGUUUUUUUUCUGUUUGCCUAAUUAAAGGAGGGUUACUAUGGUCUACAUGGUGUGUAGUGUAAUUUACUGUAGUAUUGUUCAAUGUUGAUUGAUCCAAAAGCAUUAAAGAGAUAUUCAUAUUAAAUAGUAGAGUAUACUGAAGCAAAGAACCCAAAACUCACUUAUUUACUAACAUUGCUUAAGUGAGGGCUACACAUACAUUCCAAUUGAUCCUAGUUAUGAAACAGUGCAAUCAAGUUCAGUUUAUCAUUCAAAUUAUCUCAAGGAU
Long non-coding RNA from Xiphophorus hellerii (green swordtail), 7788 nucleotides. RefSeq lists it as uncharacterized. The transcript is spliced from 3 exons. Lineage: Eukaryota; Metazoa; Chordata; Actinopteri; Cyprinodontiformes; Poeciliidae. The record is from RefSeq and is a predicted model, not a curated record.